AGGCGAUUAGCUCAAUUGGUAGAGCGUGUCGUUUACACCGAUACGGUUAGCGGUUCAAGUCCGUUAUCGCCUA
RNAcentral lists this transfer RNA (73 nucleotides) under Triparma laevis. RNAcentral describes it as "tRNA-Val". It matches the Rfam family "tRNA". From Rfam's summary of the family: Transfer RNA (tRNA) molecules are approximately 80 nucleotides in length. Their secondary structure includes four short double-helical elements and three loops (D, anti-codon, and T loops). The record is from RNAcentral. Lineage: Eukaryota; Bolidophyceae; Parmales; Triparmaceae.